This 306-nucleotide unclassified non-coding RNA is filed under the name Hevea brasiliensis (rubber tree). Lineage: Eukaryota; Viridiplantae; Streptophyta; Magnoliopsida; Malpighiales; Euphorbiaceae. The record is from RNAcentral.
AAGGUAAAAAUGGUCUGGUUUUGCUUGUUGUCUCUUGCAGAUUUAAUUAAAAACCAUUAGGUUUGAGGUUUGAUUUGAUGUGGGAUUUUCUAAACAUUUAAAGUUUCAUAAAUUUAUUAUAAUCCACCCAUUCAUGGAAUUGAUAGUCUUUGACAAAAUUUACAACCUUAACAAUAUCUAUGCAUGAUUUUAAAGGGAAAGUUUCUUCAUACCUGUGUUUGAUUGGCAAGAUGGUAAUAUGCAACUAGGCAUAUACGUAUGUACCAAUGCUUCUGUUUUAUAUUUCACUGGGAAAUUGCUCAUGCU